Long non-coding RNA from Zingiber officinale, 668 nucleotides. RefSeq lists it as uncharacterized. The record is from RefSeq and is a predicted model, not a curated record. Lineage: Eukaryota; Viridiplantae; Streptophyta; Magnoliopsida; Zingiberales; Zingiberaceae. The transcript has 3 exons.
CCCGUGCGUGCCCUAACCCCCUUCGAUGUCGUUUCUCCUGCCUUUUCUCUCGCGAGUGGUUUCUCUUCUUCUUUCCUCCCUCGACAGCCACUUCUCGCCACUGCCCGAAGCUCUCCUCUGCCGUCGCUAUUUGUCGUGGAGUUUCCAGUGUCAUCGCCGAUCCACUGUCGCCUUCCAUCUUCCUCGCGUCUUCUUCGCCUACCGCAGCCGUGCCCUAAUCGGCCGAGCCAAUUCCCCCUUUUUCCUCUCCCGUGGUCGACGCAGACGCCGACUCCUCGUUUCACUGCCGGCGCCGCCCCUCGCUAUGGAGAGUCCAGUGGCGCCGCCGACCUCCUCAGCUACCCUAGUUUGUGUUCACCGCCACUCCUCCUCAUCCCUAGAGCCGGCUGCCGUCACCUGGUGUUAGAUCUCUUCCUUUGUUUCGGCUAAAUGUUUCCAGACAGGUUGUACCGGCCAAACAAGCUUGAUCCGGUUAGAAGAAGAGUAUCGAUUUGGGGGGGUAAUUGCUUUGGGAAUCCACAGCUCCACCUUGCUUCGAUUAGGUUUAUCGGCAAAAGAUGUGAUUUUCGGCCACAAUUUCCAUCAAUAUCCCUGGCUGUGAAUUGAGGACUGAUUCGAGACGAGCGUCUUGACGUUGGAUUUGACUGGAUUAGACCUGCUAUUGGAGG